Molecule: ribosomal RNA, 496 nt
Filed under: uncultured bacterium
Lineage: Bacteria
Description: partial 16S ribosomal RNA
Rfam family: Bacterial small subunit ribosomal RNA
Source: RNAcentral
GAUGAACGCUGGCGGCGUGCCUAAUACAUGCAAGUCGAGCGAACAGACGAGGAGCUUGCUCCUCUGACGUUAGCGGCGGACGGGUGAGUAACACGUGGAUAACCUACCUAUAAGACUGGGAUAACUUCGGGAAACCGGAGCUAAUACCGGAUAAUAUAUUGAACCGCAUGGUUCAAUAGUGAAAGACGGUUUUGCUGUCACUUAUAGAUGGAUCCGCGCCGCAUUAGCUAGUUGGUAAGGUAACGGCUUACCAAGGCAACGAUGCGUAGCCGACCUGAGAGGGUGAUCGGCCACACGGGAACGGAGACACGGUCCAGACUCCUACGGGAGGCAGCAGUAGGGAAUCUUCCGCAAUGGGCGAAAGCUUGACGGAGCAACGCCGCGUGAGUGAUGAAGGUCUUCGGAUCGUAAAACUCUGUUAUUAGGGAAGAACAAAUGUGUAAGUAACUAUGCACGUCUUGACGGUACCUAAUCAGAAAGCCACGGCUAACUACGU